Molecule: ribosomal RNA, 497 nt
Filed under: uncultured bacterium
Lineage: Bacteria
Description: partial 16S ribosomal RNA
Rfam family: Bacterial small subunit ribosomal RNA
Source: RNAcentral
GAUGAACGCUGGCGGCGUGCCUAAUACAUGCAAGUCGAGCGAACAGACGAGGAGCUUGCUCCUCUGACGUUAGCGGCGGACGGGUGAGUAACACGUGGAUAACCUACCUAUAAGACUGGGAUAACUUCGGGAAACCGGAGCUAAUACCGGAUAAUAUAUUGAACCGCAUGGUUCAAUAGUGAAAGACGGUUUUGCUGUCACUUAUAGAUGGAUCCGCGCCGCAUUAGCUAGUUGGUAAGGUAACGGCUUACCAAGGCAACGAUGCGUAGCCGACCUGAGAGGGUGAUCGGCCACACUGGAACUGAGGCACGGUCCAGACUCCUACGGGAGGCAGCAGUAGGGAAUCUUCCGCGAUGGGCGAAAGCUUGACGGAGCAACGCCGCGUGAGUGAUGAAGGUCUUCGGAUCGUAAAACUCUGUUAUUAGGGAAGAACAAAUGUGUAAGUAACUAUGCACGUCUUGACGGUACCUAAUCAGAAAGCCACGGCUAACUACGUG